This 447-nucleotide ribosomal RNA is filed under the name uncultured bacterium. Its description in RNAcentral is "bacterial SSU rRNA". It matches the Rfam family "Bacterial small subunit ribosomal RNA", at positions 329 to 793 of the family's 1533-position model. The record is from RNAcentral.
CGCCAGACUCCUACGGGAGGCAGCAGUGGGGAAUAUUGCACAAUGGGGGAAACCCUGAUGCAGCGACGCCGCGUGAGUGAAGAAGUAUUUCGGUAUGUAAAGCUCUAUCAGCAGGGAAGAAAAUGACGGUACCUGACUAAGAAGCCCCGGCUAACUACGUGCCAGCAGCCGCGGUAAUACGUAGGGGGCAAGCGUUAUCCGGAUUUACUGGGUGUAAAGGGAGCGUAGACGGCAUGGCAAGUCAGAUGUGAAAGCCCGGGGCUCAACCCCGGGACUGCAUUUGAAACUGUCAGGCUGGAGUGCAGGAGAGGUAAGUGGAAUUCCUAGUGUAGCGGUGAAAUGCGUAGAUAUUAGGAGGAACACCAGUGGCGAAGGCGGCUUACUGGACUGUAACUGACGUUGAGGCUCGAAAGCGUGGGGAGCAAACAGGAUUAGAUACCCUUGUAA